GCCCCAGUGGCGCAAUUGGUUAGCGCACGGUACUUGUAAUGCCGGGGUUGUGAGUUCGAGCCUCACCUGGGGCA
This 74-nucleotide transfer RNA is filed under the name Schistocerca americana (American grasshopper). RNAcentral's name for it is "tRNA-Thr". It matches the Rfam family "tRNA". From Rfam's summary of the family: Transfer RNA (tRNA) molecules are approximately 80 nucleotides in length. Their secondary structure includes four short double-helical elements and three loops (D, anti-codon, and T loops). Further hydrogen bonds mediate the characteristic L-shaped molecular structure. tRNAs have two regions of fundamental functional importance: the anti-codon, which is responsible for specific mRNA codon recognition, and the 3' end, to which the tRNAs corresponding amino acid is attached (by aminoacyl-tRNA synthetases). tRNAs cope with the degeneracy of the genetic code in two manners: having more than one tRNA (with a specific anti-codon) for a particular amino acid; and 'wobble' base-pairing, i.e. permitting non-standard base-pairing at the 3rd anti-codon position. Lineage: Eukaryota; Metazoa; Arthropoda; Insecta; Orthoptera; Acrididae. The record is from RNAcentral. RNAcentral also lists the same sequence under 2 other names.